Small nucleolar RNA from Antechinus flavipes (yellow-footed antechinus), 91 nucleotides. RefSeq annotates it as small nucleolar SNORD12/SNORD106. The transcript has a single exon. The record is from RefSeq and is a predicted model, not a curated record. Lineage: Eukaryota; Metazoa; Chordata; Mammalia; Dasyuromorphia; Dasyuridae.
GCUGGUGCAAAUGAUGACUCGACUUUUUUCCCCAUCAGAUCGACCUUGUUGAUAUCUUUGAAUUUUUGCCAGUUACUUCUGAUGCACCGGC